AACCCAUGAUGAAGGAACCUUCUCAAUAAAUCCUUAUACCUCUCCAAUGCAUCAUAUAAGGUCUCUAAAUCCAUUUGCACGAAAGAAGAGAUAUCAUUCCUUGGCU
This 106-nucleotide small nucleolar RNA is filed under the name Gossypium hirsutum (cotton). RNAcentral's name for it is "Plant small nucleolar RNA R71". It matches the Rfam family "Plant small nucleolar RNA R71". From Rfam's summary of the family: R71 is a member of the C/D box family of snoRNAs containing the C (UGAUGA) and D (CUGA) box motifs. Multiple nearly identical copies of this snoRNA have been identified in Arabidopsis, and it is thought to function as a 2'-O-ribose methylation guide for 18S ribosomal RNA. Lineage: Eukaryota; Viridiplantae; Streptophyta; Magnoliopsida; Malvales; Malvaceae. The record is from Rfam by way of RNAcentral.